This 743-nucleotide ribosomal RNA is filed under the name uncultured bacterium. RNAcentral describes it as "bacterial SSU rRNA". It matches the Rfam family "Bacterial small subunit ribosomal RNA", at positions 94 to 823 of the family's 1533-position model. The record is from RNAcentral.
AGUGGCGGACGGGUGAGUAACACGUAGGUAACCUGCCCCGGAGCGGGGGAUAACAUUUAGAAACAGAUGCUAAUACCGCAUAACAACAAAAGCCACAUGGCUUUUGUUUGAAAGAUGGCUUUGGCUAUCACUCUGGGAUGGACCUGCGGUGCAUUAGCUAGUUGGUAAGGUAACGGCUUACCAAGGCGAUGAUGCAUAGCCGAGUUGAGAGACUGAUCGGCCACAAUGGAACUGAGACACGGUCCAUACUCCUACGGGAGGCAGCAGUAGGGAAUCUUCCACAAUGGGCGCAAGCCUGAUGGAGCAACACCGCGUGAAUGAAGAAGGGUUUCGGCUCGUAAAGCUCUGUUGUUGGAGAAGAACGUGCGUGAGAGUAACUGUUCACGCAGUGACGGUAUCCAACCAGAAAGUCACGGCUAACUACGUGCCAGCAGCCGCGGUAAUGCGUAGGUGGCAAGCGUUAUCCGGAUUUAUUGGGCGUAAAGCGAGCGCAGGCGGUUGCUUAGGUCUGAUGUGAAAGCCUUCGGCUUAACCGAAGAAGUGCAUCGGAAACCGGGCAACUUGAGUGCAGAAGAGGACAGUGGAACUCCAUGUGUAGCGGUGGAAUGCGUAGAUAUAUGGAAGAACACCAGUGGCGAAGGCGGCUGUCUGGUCUGCAACUGACGCUGAGGCUCGAAAGCAUGGGUAGCGAACAGGAUUAGAUACCCUGGUAGACCAUGCCGUAAACGAUGAGUGCUAGGUGU